This is a non-coding RNA of Triticum aestivum (bread wheat), 98 nucleotides long. Lineage: Eukaryota; Viridiplantae; Streptophyta; Magnoliopsida; Poales; Poaceae. The record is from Rfam.
UCAUUCGGAUUCUCCAUCAUACGUCCAACCGUGCAUUUGAUAUGCAUAUAUAUGCAUCACGAGCCACGGUUGGGCUGUAUGAUGGCGAUACCGAUUGG